AUAUUACCUCCAUCCUUAAUUACUUGUCUUAUAUUUGACUAGAUAUGGAUGUAUCUAACACAUAAUGUGUCUAGAUACAUCUGUAUCUAAAAAAAUCUAAGACAAGUAAUUCAUAAGGACGGAGUAAUUC
This is a non-coding RNA of Triticum aestivum (bread wheat), 130 nucleotides long. Lineage: Eukaryota; Viridiplantae; Streptophyta; Magnoliopsida; Poales; Poaceae. The record is from Rfam.